This 709-nucleotide ribosomal RNA is filed under the name Nephroma sulcatum. RNAcentral describes it as "SSU rRNA". It matches the Rfam family "Bacterial small subunit ribosomal RNA", at positions 384 to 1175 of the family's 1533-position model. RNAcentral also lists the same sequence under 1 other name. Lineage: Eukaryota; Fungi; Ascomycota; Lecanoromycetes; Peltigerales; Nephromataceae. The record is from RNAcentral.
GGCAAUAGCCAAUGCAUUAAUAUGAUGCAAUAUCGAAGUCGAAUAAAAUUCUGGGUAGACUAUGAUAAUGACAUUAUCUAUCUAGAUGUCUUGACCAAAAUACGUGCCAGCAGUCGCGGUAAGACGUUAAAGACGAGUGUUAUUCAUGUUUAAUCGGUUUAAAGAGUCCCAAGACUGUUAAUAAAGCCUACUGGGGACACAUUAACUAGAGUUAUAUGAAAGGGGGCUGUGAGGUACUGUCGGGUGGAGAGAUAAAAUUCCAUUAUACAGAUGAUGGCACCAACAAAUGCGAAGGCAUCCUCUUAUGUAAUAACUGACGUUUUCAGACGAAGGCUUAGGGAAGAAAAAUGGAUUAGAUACCCUCGUAUUCUAAGCAGAAAAUGAUGAAUGUCAUAGGUUGAAGAUAAAUAAUAUUUAUUUUGGUCUAUAAAUGAAAGUGUAAGCAUUCCACCUCAAGAGUAAUUUGGCAACAUUGGAACUGAAAUCAUCAGGCCGUUUUUGAAACCAGUAGUGAAGUAUGUUGUUUAAUUUGAUAACCCGCACAAAACCUUACCACUAUUUGCAUAAAUAUUUAUGUAUAUAUUUACAAGUGUUGCACGGCUGUCUUCAGUUGAUGUCGUGAGGCUAGGUUACUCCUAACAAUCAACGCAAACCCUUACUUUAUUUUUAUAUAAAGUUGUUCACCUCUCAUGGGAGAUGCUAAUAGGGA